AAAUUGAAGAGUUUGAUCAUGGCUCAGAUUGAACGCUGGCGGCAGGCCUAACACAUGCAAGUCGAACGGUAACAGGAAGCAGCUUGCUGCUUCGCUGACGAGUGGCGGACGGGUGAGUAAUGUCUGGGAAACUGCCUGAUGGAGGGGGAUAACUACUGGAAACGGUGGCUAAUACCGCAUAACGUCGCAAGACCAAAGAGGGGGACCUUCGGGCCUCUUGCCAUCAGAUGUGCCCAGAUGGGAUUAGCUGGUUGGUGAGGUAACGGCUCACCAAGGCGACGAUCCCUAGCUGGUCUGAGAGGAUGACCAGCCACACUGGAACUGAGACACGGUCCAGACUCCUACGGGAGGCAGCAGUGGGGAAUAUUGCACAAUGGGCGCAAGCCUGAUGCAGCCAUGCCGCGUGUAUGAAGAAGGCCUUCGGGUUGUAAAGUACUUUCAGCGGGGAGGAAGGUGUUGUGGUUAAUAACCGCAGCAAUUGACGUUACCC
RNAcentral lists this ribosomal RNA (490 nucleotides) under Salmonella enterica. RNAcentral describes it as "bacterial SSU rRNA". It matches the Rfam family "Bacterial small subunit ribosomal RNA", at positions 1 to 480 of the family's 1533-position model. Lineage: Bacteria; Pseudomonadati; Pseudomonadota; Gammaproteobacteria; Enterobacterales; Enterobacteriaceae. The record is from RNAcentral.